RNAcentral lists this microRNA precursor (204 nucleotides) under Oryza sativa Japonica Group (Japanese rice). RNAcentral describes it as "MIR812 microRNA precursor family". It matches the Rfam family "MIR812 microRNA precursor family". The record is from Rfam by way of RNAcentral. Lineage: Eukaryota; Viridiplantae; Streptophyta; Magnoliopsida; Poales; Poaceae.
AAUAGAUGACGCCGUUGACUUUUUCUCACAUAUUUGACCAUUCGUCUUAUUUAAAAAAUUUACGUAAUUAUAAUUUAUUUUAUUAUGAGUUGUUUUAUCACUCAUAGUACUUUAAGUGUUAUUUAUAUCUUAUACAUUUGCAUAAAAUUUUUUAAAUAAGACGAAUGGUCAAACAGUGAGAAAAAGUCAACGGCGUCAUCUAUU